CCUGGCUCACGAUGAACGCUAGCUACAGGCUUAACACAUGCAAGUCGAGGGGCAGCAUGGUCUUAGCUUGCUAAGGCCGAUGGCGACCGGCGCACGGGUGAGUAACACGUAUCCAACCUGCCGUCUACUCUUGGACAGCCUUCUGAAAGGAAGAUUAAUACAAGAUGGCAUCAUGAGUCCGCAUGUUCACAUGAUUAAAGGUAUUCCGGUAGACGAUGGGGAUGCGUUCCAUUAGAUAGUAGGCGGGGUAACGGCCCACCUAGUCUUCGAUGGAUAGGGGUUCUGAGAGGAAGGUCCCCCACAUUGGAACUGAGACACGGUCCAAACUCCUACGGGAGGCAGCAGUGAGGAAUAUUGGUCAAUGGGCGAGAGCCUGAACCAGCCAAGUAGCGUGAAGGAUGACUGCCCUAUGGGUUGUAAACUUCUUUUAUAAAGGAAUAAAGUCGGGUAUGGAUACCCGUUUGCAUGUACUUUAUGAAUAAGGAUCGGCUAACUCCGUGCCAGCAGCCGCGGUAAUACGGAGGAUCCGAGCGUUAUCCGGAUUUAUUGGGUUUAAAGGGAGCGUAGAUGGAUGUUUAAGUCAGUUGUGAAAGUUUGCGGCUCAACCGUAAAAUUGCAGUUGAUACUGGAUAUCUUGAGUGCAGUUGAGGCAGGCGGAAUUCGUGGUGUAGCGGUGAAAUGCUUAGAUAUCACGAAGAACUCCGAUUGCGAAGGCAGCCUGCUAAGCUGCAACUGACAUUGAGGCUCGAAAGUGUGGGUAUCAAACAGGAUUAGAUACCCUGGUAGUCCACACGGUAAACGAUGAAUACUCGCUGUUUGCGAUAUACAGCAAGCGGCCAAGCGAAAGCGUUAAGUAUUCCACCUGGGGAGUACGCCGGCAACGGUGAAACUCAAAGGAAUUGACGGGGGCCCGCACAAGCGGAGGAACAUGUGGUUUAAUUCGAUGAUACGCGAGGAACCUUACCCGGGCUUAAAUUGCAGAUGAAUUACGGUGAAAGCCGUAAGCCGCAAGGCAUCUGUGAAGGUGCUGCAUGGUUGUCGUCAGCUCGUGCCGUGAGGUGUCGGCUUAAGUGCCAUAACGAGCGCAACCCUUGUUGUCAGUUACUAACAGGUUCCGCUGAGGACUCUGACAAGACUGCCAUCGUAAGAUGUGAGGAAGGUGGGGAUGACGUCAAAUCAGCACGGCCCUUACGUCCGGGGCUACACACGUGUUACAAUGGGGGGUACAGAGGGCCGCUACCACGCGAGUGGAUGCCAAUCCCAAAAACCUCUCUCAGUUCGGACUGGAGUCUGCAACCCGACUCCACGAAGCUGGAUUCGCUAGUAAUCGCGCAUCAGCCACGGCGCGGUGAAUACGUUCCCGGGCCUUGUACACACCGCCC
RNAcentral lists this ribosomal RNA (1382 nucleotides) under uncultured bacterium. Its description in RNAcentral is "bacterial SSU rRNA". It matches the Rfam family "Bacterial small subunit ribosomal RNA", at positions 18 to 1395 of the family's 1533-position model. The record is from RNAcentral.